This 90-nucleotide transfer RNA is filed under the name Rhizoctonia solani AG-1 IB. It matches the Rfam family "tRNA". Rfam says of the family: Transfer RNA (tRNA) molecules are approximately 80 nucleotides in length. The record is from Rfam by way of RNAcentral. Lineage: Eukaryota; Fungi; Basidiomycota; Agaricomycetes; Cantharellales; Ceratobasidiaceae.
GCCGCGUUGGCUCAAUGGUAGAGCGUCGCCCUCCUACAACGUGAUUGCUUGGCAAGGCGAAGGCUGUGGGUUCGAUCCCCAUGCGUGGUA